Molecule: long non-coding RNA, 547 nt
Organism: Chrysemys picta bellii (western painted turtle)
Lineage: Eukaryota; Metazoa; Chordata; Testudines; Emydidae
Source: RefSeq, a predicted model, not a curated record
AUUGGUUUAAGUUUUACUGCUGAAGAGCCCAUUAUCAAGUUUUUGUUGCCCAUAAUGAAAUUGCAGCCAAAGAUACCUGCUAUAUUAUGACAGAAUAUGGUUCCAUCAACAUUUUCCCCAAGCAGGUGUAGCUUUGGGACCUACUUCUCAUGUGCUGUGAUGGAUGUGAUCAAGCCAGUUCAUGUGCUGAGAAGGUCUUUCUAACAUCUGUGGGGUCAAUUUUGCAUCAGAGCCAGAAGGGAAUUGCUGUCAUUUCCAGUACAGGGCAGGAAGGAAAAAGUCAGCACAGAGUUGCUGUUAAUUCAGUGAAGAAACACUGCUGGAAUACACAAAAUGGACAGGGCAUAGAAUCUGGUUGCAGAGGGCAUACGGUUAUUUGAGUGGAAGGUACUGGACAUGAGAGAGACUUAAGGCUCCAUUUGUUAUUCUUUUUAAAUCGUUAUGCCUAAAUUAAGCAAAUCCACUUUGUGUACACAUUGUUACUUCUGGGGGAAUUCUGUGUACAAAAUUUUAAAGUUCUGCAACAUUCUGCAUAUUUUAUUUUUCA